AAUACUAUUCUUGGCGUUCGUGCUCAUGUUUUAAUUGCAAAGAGAAAAGUUUUCAUGCAACUGCAGAUAAUCUCAGAGUCAAAGACAAAGUUACAUUAAGAUCGAUGGUCGGUCUGUCUGGGACCCAAGACUAGAGUUUUGUUAGUCAGACAAUUGUAGGUUUAUUCAGCUGGUUACAAUCUAUGACUGGAUAUAUUGGGGGUGGGGGGACCCUGACUGGAGUAUGUUCCCAGUGUGCAGGACAUAUUAAACUGGUGCCGAAUUGAGAAACAACUCUUCCAACUGCUACUCUAGAAUAACGGCAUGUAUGUACUAAAGAUGAAUGUAAUUUCCUUCAUUAUUUUGUGUCAUCUGUGCCUUACCACUUUGCUUUACUAUAAUUUUUUCUUAUCAAUCCUCACAAUUAAGAUAUUAUAUGGUGAGUACAGCACUUAAUUUUGUUUCUUAGAGGGAUAAAGUAUCUUCCAUACAUCAGUUAGGUAAUUAAUUCCUUUCUUAACUGUAUCAUUAUAUCAAUUACAAAGUAACAUAGUCAGUCUGAAGGAAUUGUUCCUAAACAGGCUGCUCAUAACUUUAGUACUUCCUGUAUUUUGGAUAUUUAUGUUCUACCAGAUAAUCAUUCCUCAUGAUGUAAGAUAUGAUAAACAAUCGAAACACAAUACUCAAGCAAUGACAUAAAUGUUAUUUCCAGUAUUAAAAUAGCAAUUAUCUUCUUUCUGUAAUGAGUCUCUGCACAUAGAACAUGACUAUAGCUCACACUACUGAUGAUAUACCUGUAUCAGCAUCAUGUGUGGGGAUGUAGUUAAUAACUUUUCUUUCUCUUCUAUCACAAAAUAGACUGGUUAUUAUUUCACCAUUUACCUUUUACAUUAAUAUAUUUAUUCACGUUGCGUGGUUGAUCUGCAUUAGUUUGAAAUAAUCAGCCUCUUUUAUAAGGUGGAAGAAAGAGAGCUUCUCUUAAGACAUGAUGUAGGUCUCAUAUAUAAUAGGUGGAGACAGUGCUCUAUUACAACAGGUGGUACUUAAAGUUUUGAAAUUGCUAAGUUUAUUUUUAAUAUUUAUAUGAACAAAUCAUAAAUUCAUAGAUGCAAGGCUCAAAUUCACUGACUAAUAGUUAUUCAUUUAAUACAUUUCUUUUUUGGUCACAAAUGUAAUAUCUACAAAUACAGUAUGUAUCCUUCAUAAAUUAAAAUAUUUUCUACAAUUGUAGGUCAAUAAAAUAACUACUUUAUAUUACACUACUGGUAUAUUAUUUACCAUCUUAAUGUUAAUACAAUCCUGAGAUCUUGAAUAAUGGUAGAAUUUGUCUCUGAUCCUGUUGACAGAGAGCAUAAAAUUACAUCAGUGAUUUGGAAACGGCCUGAUCCCAAAAUGGAUCCAAAGAGUAAAGUGCAGAAAAUUAAUGUGCAAAUUUAACCUACUGGAAAACUAUACCUAAUUUCAGAGAUCCAGAAAAAGAAAUGUUAAAUUUAAAUCCAAAAUUUAUAUUCAUUAAAGGCAGUGAAACGAUAAUAUUUGCACCACAGUAAUCACAAAAAUGUCAUUUUCUUAAAAAUAGCCAAAAGAGAAAACAAGUGACUCAGUGAGAAUAGUUCUAUAAACAAAUCUGUAAAUAUUCCAUGUUCAGCAAUUCACUUAUAAGUGGGAUGGCUACUCUUAUAUUGCAAAUAUUUUCCCUUUUAAAAUAUCACUAUGGUUUUCUUUCCCCACAUUUUACAGCUUUGUUUAAAAAUAAAAUUUGUAGUUGAUGCGUAUAGUGUUAAAAGUAAGUGUUCAGUUCCGUGCUGAUUUGCUGCCUAGGUCUACUUUAUUACGCAUAAAAGUGAGAUAUUUUUAAUGCCUCCAUCAUUAUCCACCAAUGGUAAAAGCUUAUCAUUGUAUGUAUUUACAAAUAUUGUUUAUUCAAUUUAGAAUUAAACUGUCUGUCAGUAAACCAUAGACAGAAAUGUGGUAUUUGGUUUUCAAAACAAGACUGUAGAAGUAUGCAGAAUAUACUUAACAGAUGCAUUCUGCAGAAGGUAUCAUAAAUAAUAUGGUUAUGUACAUAAUCUUCCUGUUUCUGAUUUGAAAAGAAUAUGUUGCUGACAUGAGAAAGGGUGUGAUAUUCAAUUCUGUAGGUGCCUUAUUUUAGAUAAAAAGAAUAAUUAAGAAAAAAAUGAACUCUUCUCUUAUAAUAAGAAAACAUUAAAUUCCCAUGCAGCUAUUCACUGUUAGUUGAUAAUUUUUUAAAUUGGUGAGAUGUUAAAACUACACAAGCUUUAUUGAAUGAAUAAACAAUUAAAAUCAAGGCUUCAUUCUUCAUUAUUAUUAAUAAAUACCUGAAAAGAAAAUUAAAUAUAUAUCAUAAAUUGUUUAAUAUAUGCAUCAAAAUCAUACUGUAAUAGGCCACAUACAUUAGAAUAGAAAUCUGAUUUCAGUGCAGUUCAUACAACUACUACAACUGAUGUUAACAGCACAAUCAGUUAUAUUUUAAUUGCAUCUGUAUUUAAAUUCAUGUGGACCUAUAAAUUCAGAUGGGAGAAAGUAUCAUUUUCUUAUUGAGAAUAGGGUACUUCAUUAAUCUUCAAGUUUAUUAGGAAACCCUGCUGAUUUUGAAUACACAGGUUUGAAAAUGUACAAAUAGUUUUCCCUUUCUUUAACUACCUCAAGAAUUGCACAAUUUACAUAAAAAGUGUAUUGGGCACAGGAUAUGUCCACCACUUUUCUCUCCAACAUAUGUUUGAAACAUUCUUUGGUCUGAUAAAUAUAUAACCAUUUAUGCCCAAGAUAUGUAAACAAAUACAUAUAGGUUUUCAUGUAAAAUGUCUGUUACUCUUUUCCAGUUUUAAACCAAGAUUAAAAGAUCUGACAAAUGUUACUUAAACACUCCACUAUCAAAUUUCAUGAAAAACCAUUAAGAAAUUCUACAGUUGUUUCAUACAUACAAACAGAUUAAUAGAUUUAGAGAAUUUAAUAUUUGCCAUGCAUGGUUAUGAAUGCACUUAAAUUAAUAAGAGGUUUAGGGUAGGAAUAUAGUAAUAUAUUAGUUUGCAACAUCUUUAAAAGCAGAACCUAAUAUCACAAGUUCUUAUUUUCUACAAAUUAAAUUUUGUUGUCACUCUCAGUCUUGAAAGGAUAAAAAAUCAGAAUUAGUAUUCAUGAAUGUGUCAGGGCUACUGCCAGAGUAAAUUUCAAUAUUCAUACAGUUCUGUGGCUUUCUGGAGCAGUAAUUUUUCAUAGUUCACUAGACAGAUGCCUUUCAUAGAUGCUAGAAAUAGGCAGGAUGUUUAUCAAGUCAGGACUCAGUACAUCACAUUUAAAAAAUAUCUACUAGUACAAUACAUUGCCAAAUUGUAUUCAUUUGCCAAGACAAGAAAAUAUGUAAUGUUCAGGGAUCUGUGUACGUUAGUUGAAAGCUUAUUUUCUUACUAUGAUAAUCUGUAAAUUAUGCCCUAAACUGAAUACAGUUUAUAGUAUGCAUUCCUAAUGUACAUGUCUUUAAGACAUAAAUUUCCGUAAACAAAAAGAUAAGUUAAAUUACCAACCAUGGUUUUAUUGUGUACAACCCUUUGACAACACCAUACAUAUAAGCUGUAUCCUAACUAACUAAUUCAUUCAGGUGCCAUUCACCUGACAUCAGUCCAUUUGGGAGACCAGGCCAACUUAGAAUGUAUUAAAAUUUUUUCAUGGUAUACCCAGUUCUUAUAGUGCAGUGUCUGCUUUUGUCAACCAUCGCAUGCUUUUACUGGCAGAUCGUUUUGCUGUAAAAAUAAGAAUUAUAUCCAACUUUUACUAGUUCUACUACAGAUAAACAGGGACAAGAUCUUCACUUAACACCAACAAACAUGAAUCCCAAAAUAUAAACAUUUUAUAUAUAAGUGUAGCCUAAGCUGGCCCAUCUCUCUAUAACAUUUAUAACUGAAAUAAAUAUAUAAUUUGAGAAAGCACUUUCAGAAAUAUUUCAAUUUAUGUUACUGUGGCAGACUGAAUAUAAGCCAUUCCAUAUCAGUAAAUAUAGUGUACACUUUUCAUAACAUUAUAGUACAGAAACUUGUACAGACAGUAUUUUCGAAGAUAAGUGUGACAUAUAUUACAAGCUAAAAUACAUAUGAAGCAGACACUUUACACUACCUUCUGUUAGAUUGAUGGUACAACAAAAUCAUUUACUGUACAUCACCAUGCUAUGUAAAUGUAUGUUCUGCAUAUGAAAUUACUUUCAUAAUACCACUUAAAGGUACAUGUAGCUAUAUCAAUUUUCAUUAUUCUUACAGCAGCGAUCAGGACAAUGAUGAAUUCAAUUCUCGAAUCGCAGUAUGAUCUGAAUAUCAUCCUUGUGACUGACAAGAACCAGUACUGCUUGUGCCUGAAUUUUGCAAGUUAUUUUGGAGUAUACUGUUCAUCCAUUUUGUUUUCUUCCAUUUGCAAAUAAGAGCAGUCUUUUAAAUGUGUAUAUUACACAUAAAACUUAUUUUUAAUAACUUGUAACAAACAAUAUUUCUCAUACUUGUCUCAUAGAUAUUUUUGUAAUAAAAUUUGAUGAUUCCUUCUAAUACUAAUAAUUAAACAACAGCAAAUGUAUUUAUACUGUUAACUUGUAUUUUCAGAUAUGUCUAUCUGUUAAAAAAAUAUGUGAAAUAGAACAAUUUGAAGAAGUCAUAAAUGUAACAUCAUGGAGCAUUAAGAAUAUGUAAAUGGACUGGAAUGCAUAGUAAAUAAGGUUUCUUGCAUUUCCUGCUGUUUGAAGCCAUCUAGGCUACUGUCAGCUCAGUAAGUGCAUAUUAAAAAAACUGGGGAAUUAACAAUUUUUUUAAUUUGUUAUAAGUCAUGAAUCUCAAAUCAGUGAAUAAUUGUACGAGAAAUGUCAUUAAAUUUGGGAAAUCUCUUGUAUUUAACUGUUGUAUCAUUGUCCAAGGGCAUUCAUACCUAUCAAAGAGAUUAUCCAUGGUGAAGACAUACCAGAUGAGUCUUAAUCAAUUCUAACAUUUCUGCUCCAGUAUACCCAGCUUUAGUAAAUAUAAAAUUAUUUACAACCAACAGACAGACAAUCCUCUCCACAGUGCAGGUCAGACUCAUUACAAUGUAUGCCUACUCAUCUUGGUUUCUUUUCCUUUACAUAAGUGUAUGCACCAUGUGCUGAAACUGCUAUUUCAGUGAUGCAAGUUGGAACGAAAGGAGUGUAAUCUGUGCAUGAAAUACCAUAUAUCAAAAUGCAUAUUUCAUAUGUCUCUAUGUUUUGUACCUCAUCACACUUCUUACUUUUUUUUUUAAUUAUCAGACACUUUCUCUUAUUAGAAUUCAUUAAGAUAAUGGCAUUUAAUCAAUUGAU
Long non-coding RNA from Cryptotermes secundus, 5305 nucleotides. RefSeq lists it as uncharacterized. The record is from RefSeq and is a predicted model, not a curated record. The transcript has 2 exons. Lineage: Eukaryota; Metazoa; Arthropoda; Insecta; Blattodea; Kalotermitidae.